Molecule: ribosomal RNA, 629 nt
Filed under: Triticum aestivum (bread wheat)
Lineage: Eukaryota; Viridiplantae; Streptophyta; Magnoliopsida; Poales; Poaceae
Description: partial small subunit ribosomal RNA
Source: RNAcentral
GAUUAGGGAAAGAGGAGGAGCGAGUGAGCGAGAGGGCUAGGCUUCGAGUGUAGGCUCGACGGCAGCGGCGCAGCUGCAGCUACAGCUACGGCACGUGGCCUCGGAGGGGCGCCGCGGUCUUCGAAGGGUCCUCUGCCCGGGGAAGCAGCAGCAAGACAUGCCGUUGGCCUAGAUCGACCUCGGGGGACCUCGACAGCGGUAGCUGGGAAGGAGAAGCUGGUACCUGCAGACGAGGUGGAGCAGCUAGACGAUGGAGGCCAGGAGGGACUUGGUGGGGCUCGAGCGGUAGCGGAAGGGGAGAUGGGGCACUGCUACGACUACGGGGACACCAGCUGAUGCAGUGGCUGCUGGGGAGGAAGAACAGACUCGUUGGCCUACGACCUCAGGUCCUCGGUCUGCGGUGGCAGCUGCUGCUGGGGAUGAUGUGGCCUCCACGGAUGAUGAUGCACGUCGGGCGACUUCUACUGGUCCUCAUCAAUCCUCCUAGGGUCCGUCCUCCGGACGCGGAGAAAGCUAGACAUAGGAUCAAACACGAUAGGUAGAAUACCGUUGAACAAAUUGAAUACAGACAUGAGUCUAUAACAACGAAGGCGACUGAGCAGAUACUAGCUCGUGAACAUAAGCUCGGG